Molecule: ribosomal RNA, 496 nt
Filed under: uncultured bacterium
Lineage: Bacteria
Description: partial 16S ribosomal RNA
Rfam family: Bacterial small subunit ribosomal RNA
Source: RNAcentral
UGAACGCUGGCGGCGUGCCUACUACAUGCACGUCGAGCGAACAGACGAGGAGCUUGCUCCUCUGACGUUAGCGGCGGACGGGUGAGUAACACGUGGAUAACCUACCUAUAAGACUGGGAUAACUUCGGGAAACCGGAGCUAAUACCGGAUAAUAUAUUGAACCGCAUGGUUCAAUAGUGAAAGACGGUUUUGCUGUCACUUAUAGAUGGAUCCGCGCCGCAUUAGCUAGUUGGUAAGGUAACGGCUUACCAAGGCAACGAUGCGUAGCCGACCUGAGAGGGUGAUCGGCCACACUGGAACUGAGACACGGUCCAGACUCCUACGGGAGGCAGCAGUAGGGAAUCUUCCGCAAUGGGCGAAAGCUUGACGGAGCAACGCCGCGUGAGUGAUGAAGGUCUUCGGAUCGUAAAACUCUGUUAUUAGGGAAGAACAAAUGUGUAAGUAACUAUGCACGUCUUGACGGUACCUAAUCAGAAAGCCACGGCUAACUACGUGC